CGCCAAUUAAUCCAACUUCCCAGGAUGUAAUAGCUGCAAACAUCAGUCCACUUGGGAGCUUCUGUAGCCUGUUGCUUGUGCAGCUUACCCUAGGGGACCUUACAGACAGAC
Molecule: small nucleolar RNA, 111 nt
Filed under: Sorex araneus (European shrew)
Lineage: Eukaryota; Metazoa; Chordata; Mammalia; Eulipotyphla; Soricidae
Description: Small nucleolar RNA SNORA70 (ENSSARG00000020103.1)
Rfam family: Small nucleolar RNA SNORA70
About the family: snoRNA U70 seems to be exclusive to mammals and is a member of the H/ACA class of snoRNA which contain H (ANANNA) and ACA box motifs. H/ACA box snoRNAs are involved in the conversion of uridines to pseudouridines (5-ribosyluracil) a constituent of structural RNAs (transfer, ribosomal, small nuclear, and small nucleolar).
Source: RNAcentral